RNAcentral lists this long non-coding RNA (766 nucleotides) under Nicotiana benthamiana. RNAcentral's name for it is "long non-coding RNA (NBEN_LNC004762)". The record is from RNAcentral. Lineage: Eukaryota; Viridiplantae; Streptophyta; Magnoliopsida; Solanales; Solanaceae.
CUCAAGUAGAGAAAGAGAAUCUAAUUUUUAAUAAGAAAGAUGCUAAGGCCGAUAUUCCUGACGUUAAGAAUCUCCUCUUAUGCUUCGCCAGCACCCAAUAAGGACCACAAAGUGCAUUACUAAUGACCACUGGAGAAGAUCCCUGCCUCUGCCCAACCACAACUUCCUUUUCCGGGAGAGGGGGAUUUUGGGGAUCAACCGGCCCCCAUCCAACCUCAGUUAGAAAGAUGCUAAGGCCGAUAUUCCUGACAUUAAGAAUCUCCUCUUAUGGUUCGCCAGCACCCAAUAAGGACCACAAAGUGCAUUACUAAUGACCACUGGAGAAGAUCCCUGCCUCUGCCCAACCACAACUUCCUUUUCCGGGAGAGGGGGAUUUUGGGGAUCAACCGGCCCCCAUCCAACCUCAGUAUGCUAGAAAUGAACCGCAGUCGCCAGCACAUCAGGAUCCCAAUCCAUGUAAGGAUCCUGUUUGGAUCUUUCAACACGACACCAUUAAACAUCGUCUUUCAACUGUGACUCCACAACGUGACGUAAACGACGAUGAAAUUGAUGCGAUAAUAAGGUUAAAGAGAGGUAUUAUCGCUCGCAUGGCCCAGUUGGAUCCCAAUCCAUUCUGGACUCAGCAAAAAGAGAGCUUGGUCGCUAACGGAAUCUUAAAUAAAGAUGCAGAGUUUACUAGGAAGACGCUGAUGGAAUACUUUACUAAAUUAGAAACCGAAGAAGGGAAAGAGUCUUGUAUUUAUCAAAAACUUCUCAAAACAAGAGA